Rhincodon typus (whale shark) is the source of this 2610-nucleotide long non-coding RNA. RefSeq lists it as uncharacterized. The record is from RefSeq and is a predicted model, not a curated record. The transcript has 3 exons. Lineage: Eukaryota; Metazoa; Chordata; Chondrichthyes; Orectolobiformes; Rhincodontidae.
GAUGAAAUAGAAAGCCUAGGCAUAACUAACACCGAUGGACUGGUGUGGUUUUAAAUUUGCUGCAGCUGGAAGCUGAGCACGGCUGCAGGCGUGGGAAAAGACUGCUUAAAGUAGAAAAAUGAUAAGUAAUUAUCCUCCGGAAGAAGAUAAUUGGGGCCCGGAUGGCUCCAUCCUACAAACCUUCCGUGAAGCAAAUAAAAAGUUAGUUUGUAACUUGGCUAAGGCUGGGUGGAAUCGGCAUAGAUUGGCAGCUGAGCAGAAAGCCGGGUGGGUGGGACAAAAGAAUGACAAGGAGAAACCACAGAAAGGGUCUAUUUUGAUAGCAGCAUUACGUAGACAAGUUGUUCACUGUAAACUACAGGAACCCUGAAGCAAGCCUCAGCUAAAGCCAGCCAGAGACAGGGAAACAGAUGGGCAUGAGUGUUACCGGCAAUACCCAUGUCCAUGCGCGGAACCCCUAACAGAACCACUGCACUGAAAUCCUUCGAGUUGAUGACCAAAGGUGCCAUGACCCUCCCGACUGAUACGAUCACAGGGGGAGCAGAACUCAUUAAUGCAAAAGGGGCCCAUAUGGGACUUUAUCAGAACCUUAUGCCAGCAGUUGGAUAGAUUAAAAACGCGAGUUACUCAGCAGCAGCAGUCAGAGUUUGGGAGAAAGAGGGAGAACCAACAGAAGCCAUGCAGAUUAAACCAGGAGACGAGGUAAUGUACGAUUAUUUCCUCAGAAGGGGUGUGGGAGCUCCCUCCAUGAUGGGAAGGACCUUAUGAAAUAAUUAUCACAGGUAAUCACGGAGUUUAAGUAAAUGAAGCUGGCAUAGGUAAAUGGUGCCACCCUUCACAGGUGAAUGUGUAUGAUCCCUAACUGCCCAUUGGCAAGGCCUUGCGCUUCCUCUUUCUGUUUUAACAGAUUACUCCUAGCGGAGCAUGCUCAACAAUGACCUUCGGUGUCAAGACUAACGUAUGGCCCGAGUCAACCCACACCGACAAUGACUCCUGGCAAACACAUCCGGUGGACAGUGACAUUUAUUACACCGGCCUGAAGGACUUCUACACGAAUGGAGAGCUAUGGAUUGAGCCAUCUGAGAAAGGACGGUUAACAUACGCUGCUGGGUUUCCCCUCUUGAUCUUGCAAAGAAGACUUGACUCAAAAGAAAACAGUUCAGAUGGUGAGUGAAGCAGAGGUGCAGAAGCAUCACAGAUCGGUCUUAAGGGGAGAAGAUCAAACUUGGCACAGGACAUCUUCAGAAACAUCAAAUCUUAAGAACAAUCAGGCACUUUCAGAAGGAGGACACGACCACAGAAAAGCAAAAGAUCAAACAACCACCCACACAAAGAAGUAAAUGAGGUAGAAGAGUCUCCAAUAGAAGACAGACCCAAAUUUUCCUUGGAGAAAUCAAUGGCCUGGACUGCAUAAUUUGGCAAGCAGUUGUUUAAGCCAAUGAGCAUCUCAUGAAUCCCAAGUUGGACAGUGAAACAAGUAUCACAAUAUCAUUAGAUAGAAAGUCUUCAUUGACAAAACACUGCCCACAGCUGACAAAUAUUUAACUACAUGGUCCAGGGGACUUUGCACUUUGCAUUUACAUUAAACAAGCAAUUCUCCAACACUAAAUAGCAUACAUUAAAAAACCUAUCAAUACUUCACAACCACAAAUUCUCAUUCUUGAGUAGAAAGGCAUGUUAUGUACCUCAGUCAUCUUUAAAAGCUGGAAGAGGUUAAACAAUGGAAGGUCAAGGAACAGCCAAUCAAAGAAUGACUAGUCAAGACCCAGCCAAUGACGGUAUGGCUGGUUGAAGAUUUCACAGGGCUCUGUUAGUUCCUGACUGAAUCAGAACAAACAAAAUCAGAAUCUCCUGAGGUUAAUUAUGUUGGAAUAGGAAAUUGUUUCAUGCCAUCAAUGAGAUGGAAAGCUGUGUUCAUACUGAUUUGGUAGAAAUGUUUUCCACUACUAUCAACUAAAGAGACUUGAGAUUCUAAUUAAGAACAAACUUUGAGAAGGAAAGAAAACAAAGAGGCAGCAACUGAACAGCAUACAUAGCUUGAGACAAUUGAAACAUCCGCACCUGAAAUGUUUGGAACAUGACACAGUGGACACUUAAUUGUGAAAAAUGCAAGUCACAUGUUAGAUGAAAUGACAAGGAAGAGACCAGCUCAAAUAUUCUUCUAUUCUUCUUCUUCUUAUAUUUCAAAGAUGAUUGCUCAACAACCAUAAUGGAUCCACAUCAACAAGAAGGAAUCCAGAUAAUUGAAAAAGUGGGCAAGUUGAUUUCACUAAUAAUUCAGUUGCAGAAAGCAAAUGAGAAUGUCCAAAUUAUUCAACAAUUUGAACUAAAAAAAAUCUAUCUACUUCAGCACAGAUCCACAGGUAGGUUGAAAAUCAAAAUCCAGUUGACACAACUUGAAGAUGUGAUGUAUACAACCACAUGGAAGACAUGAGUAAGAACAGACAAGCAAUGUUUAAAGAUUCAAGAAACCGCACCUAGAAACUAGUGUCUGCUCUAGCCCAGACAGUGCCCUCUCUGAAACAAGUACAAGAGAUUAAGGGUUCAAAUCUCAGAUCAUUAGAAAGACAGUUCAGGAUAACUAACUCUUACACGACAAUUUACCAAGUU